CUUUUCGGCUUGAUGUACAGACUGCUGCUGACUGCUGCUGUGCUGGAUGGCUAGGUCGCUCUUAACUAUCAUCCCCAGUACUCCAUUUUGAAGAAUCUAAACAAUUAACAGUUGGGCUUUUGCUGGGCUCCAGCCCAAGCUUGCAUCCUGGGAGGCGAUAGCAUACUAGCUUCACAUUAGCAAACCAAAGAAUCCAGACCAGAGCCUCUCAGCAUUUACAAGACAAUGAUGGGUUACAGCACACUCGGACACACCCAUUGUGAGGCACACUGAAGUGUCUUGUCAUCCAAGAACACAUUUACUUGCUGACUAAUCUAACACUCCCUUCAGGGAAGUGUUCCCAUUAGCCUGCAGCAUCUGGACAAUUGUAACCACUUCAACACCGUGAAGUAUGCAGAAACAAUGCUUUUGGGGACUAGCAGUGGCUCCAUUCUCUACUGUUUUCCCGACUGUUGUGUUCUGGUGGCUUGUCUGAUGGUGAUAGACUAAUAGAUACGCACCAGAGGCUUUCUGCCCUCCUCUGGAUAUGGAGACAGAUCCUGAAGGAAGGACACAGCAAGCUGAAGGGUUCAUUGAGCACAGUGUUGUCUGGACUUUCUCCUGUCAUCAGUCUUGGUAGCAUCAAUUUAACAGAAAUUUCCAACUCUUCCGUUGCUUUCUCCAAAUGCUUUGAAAAGUAGGGCUUGACAUGCAACUAGACUUUGGUGAAGAAAAAAAUGUCUAGCCAUAGUCAUUAGAACCUCUGUCAGUCACUGUUGCUUCUCCUAAACUGCCCUGCCACCCAGAUGAUGGGUAGUUGGAUGAGCAGAGCAGUAAUCUGUCAUUGGAAAGAAAGUUCUAUGAAUAUGUAGCUAAGACCUUCACAUCACAGGCUCUGUUAUACCAGAACAUCUCCCUUGGCUUGCCCUUGUGGUCCCAUGGACCCUACAACUAGCAAAAGCAAGAUUUAAAAAAAAAAAAAAUCACGUUUAGUUCAAGAAUAUGUUUUGGUGUGAGAUCAACAACAACAAAAGAAAUGGUGGUCAUGUAAUAUCCCUACUAUAGUAUUAUAAAUCUGAUUUGUUACUAUUAUGAAAUGGAUGAGUCAAGAUAAUUUCAUAAUGAGAAGAGGUCACUUCAAUAACAGGUGUGGAGAUUCAAGGGCAUGUUGCUGGCAUCAGUUUGGCUUUGGUGGAUGGAAGGUUGUAUACAUGGCAAGGAAAAAUCAAUUGACAAAGCAGGGAGCCAGGGAGCUUUCAGAACUUAGUCUCAUUCUUAUCACAACUCAACUAGGAAGAAGCUCAGUGUCCUCAGAAUAGUGACUGUAAUUCCUCUGAAAGCAUCUGCCCCAGUGAUCUAAGAAUGUUCCAAGAGGUCUCACCUCUUUAAAGGUUCUAAGCUCCUAACACCUCCUAAAAGACAUUACAUUUCAACACAUGAACUUCUGUGGCACGUAUUAAGUCACAGCAGCAGUAGCAAUAGAUGUACCCACUUGGGAAUAAGCAAAGGUAGACAGGUGCACAUUGCAUUUUCCUUGGUCUUCUUUAUAUUUUGGCACAUACUAGAAGGGGCCAACCUACCUUGAAGUCUGUUCUACCCCACUCAGUUAAUCAUCUCUGGAAAUGCCCUCCCAGACACUGAUAGAGAGGAGUCUCCUAUGUCUUCUAAAUCCCACCAGUUGAUAAUUAAGGCCAAUCAUCAUAACCAUGUUAUUGGGCUUGCUAUUCACAGUGUUAUUUUUAAAUCGUAUUCAGUAAAUAAAUGACUAUGUUUCUUCACUUAUGUGUUAAGCAAUUUAUUGUAAAUAAUGUGCAGAUUUAUGUAAUCUCAUGCAUUUUUUACUCUACUAUUUCCUAUUGUGCUUGAUUUAAUCUUGAGGUUUGGUCACUAUGGUCCAAAGUAGGAUUAGUUUAUUCUGGAAUUUAUGAAGAAAGUAUCAGAGAGUUUGGGUGUGUGGUGGGCUGUGGGACCUGUAUUUGUAUGGGUGCACUUAAGUUUUACAGUGACAAAACUGACAAUUGUG
RNAcentral lists this long non-coding RNA (2002 nucleotides) under Cricetulus griseus (Chinese hamster). RNAcentral's name for it is "lncRNA (ENSCGRG00015038559.1)". The record is from RNAcentral. Lineage: Eukaryota; Metazoa; Chordata; Mammalia; Rodentia; Cricetidae.